RNAcentral lists this unclassified non-coding RNA (249 nucleotides) under Rozellomycota sp. RNAcentral describes it as "Cryptomycota sp. partial contains small subunit ribosomal RNA, internal transcribed spacer 1, and 5.8S ribosomal RNA". The stretch from base 1 to 46 matches the Rfam family "Eukaryotic small subunit ribosomal RNA", at positions 1786 to 1831 of the family's 1831-position model. The record is from RNAcentral. Lineage: Eukaryota; Fungi; Rozellomycota.
AAGUCGUAACAAGGUUUCCGUAGGUGAACCUGCGGAAGGAUCAUUAACAAAUCCCUGUUCAUUCUUGUAUUAUUGUAGAAACGUGAAUGUGGAUUUAUUCCAUUUCAUUUCUCCACAUCCAAUGCAAGAAUAACACAAGUUCCAUGUUGCAUUGUUUAUGACAACUGCACAUGACAUUUCUGCAAAUUAUCUGAUUACACAAUUACAAAACAAAACAAAUAACUUUUAACAAUGGAUCUCUAGGCUCUU